Molecule: long non-coding RNA, 433 nt
Organism: Schistocerca gregaria
Lineage: Eukaryota; Metazoa; Arthropoda; Insecta; Orthoptera; Acrididae
Exons: 3
Source: RefSeq, a predicted model, not a curated record
UGGAAAUCUGGUGUGAAACAAGCAUGUUGGCUGUCAGUUGCUAAUUAUACCUUGUGUUUAUGGUCUGCCCUAAAUGUAUGACACCGGCACAGUGUAUUGCUCCAAUACACAGUUUUAGUCGACAUAAUCAUGCUAGUAGAUUCGUCUCAGUAACUCAGAUCUUCACGGGAAGAGAGAGAUGAACUAUUGAAUAAAAUGCGACAAAUGGUGGAGGACACUUGCGAAUUAGAUAUAAGGCAUGAUGAAAUGAUUCGAACUACUAAGAGAAUUGAAAGUAAGAAGAAGAAAGCUACUACAGGAGACUCUUCUGAAGUAGAAUCUUUCAAGGAAUUGUAUGAAAGACUUCUAAAUGAAGAAGCAGCUAACAGACAAAAUCCUAAAAGACAUCAGAUGUAUUCCAGGUUAGAAAAAACCAUUAAGGAUUCUGUGGACA